RNAcentral lists this microRNA (25 nucleotides) under Ciona intestinalis (vase tunicate). Its description in RNAcentral is "Cin-Mir-184_5p* (star (passenger))". Lineage: Eukaryota; Metazoa; Chordata; Ascidiacea; Phlebobranchia; Cionidae. The record is from RNAcentral.
ACUUGCCACUUCUUCGCUUUCCAUC